This 21-nucleotide microRNA is filed under the name Nicotiana tabacum (common tobacco). RNAcentral's name for it is "nta-miR6020a-5p". The record is from miRBase by way of RNAcentral. Lineage: Eukaryota; Viridiplantae; Streptophyta; Magnoliopsida; Solanales; Solanaceae.
AAAUGUUUUUCGAGUAUCUUC